RNAcentral lists this long non-coding RNA (534 nucleotides) under Homo sapiens (human). RNAcentral describes it as "non-protein coding lnc-BAIAP2L2-3:1". Lineage: Eukaryota; Metazoa; Chordata; Mammalia; Primates; Hominidae. The record is from RNAcentral.
UUCUGCUAAGAAUGCUCCUUCCCAACUCCUUGGCUGGACACACGGCUCCUGCUCUGUGGGCCUGUCCUGUUCCCACUCAGAGCCUCAGCACCCCCCAUGUGGCCAAGACACAGCCCCUCUUGCCUUAGGUUGCCGUGGGUCUGUUUCCACAUCUGUUUCCCCUCCAGACUGCAGGGCUCCUGAGGGACAGGGCCUGGGGCCAAGUCUCCUCUGCGUUCCUGAUGCCUGGUGGUGUGCCACGCUCUCCGUGGGUGCACGACUCUUCCAGCUGGAGUUGGAGGCUGACGCCCUAGUGAAUUUCCAUCAGUAUUCUUCCCAGCUGCUACCCUUCUAUGAGAGCUCCCCUCAGGUCCUGCACACUGAGGUCCUGCAGCACCUGACCGACCUCAUCCGUAACCACCCCAGCUGGUCAGUGGCCCACCUGGCUGUGGAGCUAGGGAUCCGCGAGUGCUUCCAUCACAGCCGUAUCAUCAGCUGUGCCAAUUGCGCGGAGAACGAGGAGGGCUGCACACCCCUGCACCUGGCCUGCCGCAA